RNAcentral lists this small RNA (935 nucleotides) under Pan troglodytes (chimpanzee). RNAcentral's name for it is "retained intron". The record is from RNAcentral. Lineage: Eukaryota; Metazoa; Chordata; Mammalia; Primates; Hominidae.
UUAUGGUUUUGAUUUGCAUUUCCCUGAUCACUAGUGAUGUCAAUCAUCACUGUCACUUUUAAAAGGUACUAAUCCCAAAGCUUUUGAUUUGUUUUUAAUUUAGGAAACAAUAAAUAUUUAGACCAAAUUGGGAACACGACCUCUUCACAGAGGAGAUCCAAGAAAGAACAAGUACCAUCAGGAGCAGAAUUGGAGAGGCAACAAAUCCUUCAGGAAAUGAGGAAGAGAACACCCCUUCACAAUGACAACAGCUGGAUCCGACAGCGCAGUGCCAGUGUCAACAAAGAGCCUGUUAGUCUUCCUGGGAUCAUGAGAAGAGGCGAAUCUUUAGAUAACCUGGACUCCCCCCGAUCCAAUUCUUGGAGACAGCCUCCUUGGCUCAAUCAGCCCACAGGAUUCUAUGCUUCUUCCUCCGUGCAAGACUUUAGUCGCCCACCACCUCAGCUGGUGUCCACAUCAAACCGUGCCUACAUGCGGAACCCCUCCUCCAGCGUGCCCCCGCCUUCAGCUGGCUCCGUGAAGACUUCCACCACAGGUGUGGCCACCACACAGUCCCCCACCCCGAGAAGCCAUUCCCCUUCAGCUUCACAGUCAGGCUCUCAGCUGCGUAACAGGUCAGUCAGUGGGAAGCGCAUAUGCUCCUACUGCAAUAACAUUCUGGGCAAAGGAGCCGCCAUGAUCAUCGAGUCCCUGGGUCUUUGUUAUCAUUUGCAUUGUUUUAAGUGUGUUGCCUGUGAGUGUGACCUCGGAGGCUCUUCCUCAGGAGCUGAAGUCAGGAUCAGAAACCACCAACUGUACUGCAACGACUGCUAUCUCAGAUUCAAAUGUAAGAGAGCAAAUCAGAGAGAAAAUUUCUUGCCUUUUAAGGAGGCCACGGGUUCCCAUGCAUUUCCCUGAACCUGCAGCGAGCUCCCCUCCAAGUUCACUGCCAUAGG